GAGAUUUCUGCCUGUCUCGUGGGCUCGGAGAUGUGUAUAAGAGACAGGCAUUUAGGUGCAGCGUUGCGUGUUUCUUGCCGGAGGUAGAGCACUGGAUAGCCGAUGGGCCCGACCAGGUUACUGACGUUAACCAAACUCCGAAUGCCGGUAAGUGAGAGCGCAGCAGUGAGACUGCGGGGGAUAAGCUCCGUAGUCGAGAGGGAAACAGCCCAGACCAUCAGCUAAGGCCCCUAAGCGGUGACUAAGUGGAAAAGGAUGUGGAGUCGCACUGACAACCAGGAGGUUGGCUUGGAAGCAGCCACCCUUGAAAGAGUGCGUAAUAGCUCACUGGUCAAGUGAUUCCGCGCCGACAAUGUAGCGGGGCUCAAGUCAUCCGCCGAAGCUAUGGCAUUCACAUAAGCCCAGCACCCACUUGAUGGGUGUUCAGGUGUGUGGAUGGGUAGGGGAGCGUCGUGUCGCGAGUGAAGCGCCGGAGUGAUCCAGGUGUGGAUGCGACACGAGUGAGAAUGCAGGCAUGAGUAGCGAAUCACGUGUGAGAAACACGUGCGCCGAAUGAUCAAGGGUUCCAGGGUCAAGCUAAUCUGCCCUGGGUAAGUCGGGACCUAAGGCGAGGCCGACAGGCGUAGUCGAUGGACAACGGGUUGAUAUUCCCGUACCGGCAAAGUAGCGCCCAUGACGAACCUGGUGAUGCUAACCAUCUGAAACAUCCGUGAUCGGACCCUUCGGGGCGAGACGCGGGUGCGUAGCGUGGGACCCGAACUGGUAGUAGUCAAGCGAUGGGGUGACGCAGGAAGGUAGUCCAACCGUACCGAUGGUUGUGUACGGCUAAGCAUGUAGGGCGAGAUCUAGGCAAAUCCGGAUCUCUGACUUCGAUGUCGGGCUUGAGAUGUGAUGGGGACCCCGUUGGGGGGAAGUGGAUGAUCCUAUGCUGUCGAGAAAAACCUCUAGCGAGCUAUGCGCCGCCCGUACCCCAAACCGACUCAGGUGAUCAGGUAGAGAAUACUAAGGCGAUCGAGCGAACCACGGUUAAGGAACUCGGCAAAAUGCCCCCGUAACUUCGGGAGAAGGGGGGCCCGGAACGUGAACACCCUUGCGGUGGGAGCGGGAAGGGCCGCAGAGACCAGGCCCAAGCGACUGUUUACUAAAAACACAGGUCCGUGCGAAGUUGUAAGACGAUGUAUACGGACUGACUCCUGCCCGGUGCUGGAAGGUUAAGAGGACCUGUUAGGUAGCAAUACCGAAGCGGAGAAUUUAAGCCCCAGUAAACGGCGGUGGUAACUAUAACCAUCCUAAGGUAGCGAAAUUCCUUGUCGGGUAAGUUCCGACCUGCACGAAUGCUGUCUCUUAUACACAUCUGACGCUGCCG
Molecule: ribosomal RNA, 1366 nt
Filed under: seawater metagenome
Description: bacterial LSU rRNA
Rfam family: Bacterial large subunit ribosomal RNA
Source: RNAcentral